RNAcentral lists this ribosomal RNA (497 nucleotides) under uncultured bacterium. RNAcentral's name for it is "partial 16S ribosomal RNA". It matches the Rfam family "Bacterial small subunit ribosomal RNA", at positions 28 to 507 of the family's 1533-position model. The record is from RNAcentral.
GAUGAACACUGGCGGCGUGCCUAAUACAUGCAAGUCGAGCGAACAGAUAAGGAGCUUGCUCCUUUGACGUUAGCGGCGGACGGGUGAGUAACACGUGGGUAACCUACCUAUAAGACUGGGAUAACUUCGGGAAACCGGAGCUAAUACCGGAUAACAUUUGGAACCGCAUGGUUCUAAAGUGAAAGAUGGUUUUGCUAUCACUUAUAGAUGGACCCGCGCCGUAUUAGCUAGUUGGUAAGGUAACGGCUUACCAAGGCAACGAUACGUAGCCGACCUGAGAGGGUGAUCGGCCACACUGGAACUGAGACACGGUCCAGACUCCUACGGGAGGCAGCAGUAGGGAAUCUUCCGCAAUGGGCGAAAGCCUGACGGAGCAACGCCGCGUGAGUGAUGAAGGGUUUCGGCUCGUAAAACUCUGUUAUUAGGGAAGAACAAACGUGUAAGUAACUGUGCACGUCUUGACGGUACCUAAUCAGAAAGCCACGGCUAACUACGUG